This 254-nucleotide ribosomal RNA is filed under the name uncultured bacterium. RNAcentral's name for it is "partial 16S ribosomal RNA". It matches the Rfam family "Bacterial small subunit ribosomal RNA", at positions 524 to 776 of the family's 1533-position model. The record is from RNAcentral.
GACAGAGGGUGCAAACGUUGUUCGGAAUUAUUGGGCGUAAAGAGCUCGUAGGCGGUGUGUCGCGUCGGCCGUGAAAACUUGCAGCUUAACUGUGGGCUUGCGGUCGAUACGGGCAUCACUGGAGUUCGGCAGGGGAGACUGGAAUUCCUGGUGUAGCGGUGAAAUGCGCAGAUAUCAGGAGGAACACCGGUGGCGAAGGCGGGUCUCUGGGCCGAUACUGACGCUGAGGAGCGAAAGCGUGGGGAGCGAACAGG